GUUUGACCUCGGAUCAGGUAGGGAUACCCGCUGAACUUAAGCAUAUCAAUAAGCGGAGGAAAAGA
RNAcentral lists this ribosomal RNA (65 nucleotides) under Medicopsis romeroi. Its description in RNAcentral is "partial 28S ribosomal RNA". It matches the Rfam family "Eukaryotic large subunit ribosomal RNA", at positions 1 to 62 of the family's 3401-position model. Lineage: Eukaryota; Fungi; Ascomycota; Dothideomycetes; Pleosporales; Neohendersoniaceae. The record is from RNAcentral.